Molecule: long non-coding RNA, 1810 nt
Organism: Macaca fascicularis (crab-eating macaque)
Lineage: Eukaryota; Metazoa; Chordata; Mammalia; Primates; Cercopithecidae
Source: Ensembl
GAGAUAGGAAUGAAGAUUAGGAAGAAGCCCAGUGUGUCUUGAACUUACUGAACUGGACUAGAGAACAUGGUGUGAGGAGAGAUUGGUGAAGUAGACAGGGGCUAGAUUAUGUCAGGCUUUGCAGGCCACAAUAAGGAGGUGAGGUUUUAUUUUAAAUAUAAUUGGAAGCCUUUGGAGAUUGCAAGCAGUGAAAUAACCUAAUCCAUAAUCUGAUUUAUAUUUUUAUCUUAUUGCUCUGGCUGCAGUGUGGAGAUGGAGUAAAGGGAAGCAAGGGUGGAAACAGGGAGACCAGUAAGCGGGUAGUUGCAAAUAACACAGGGGAGAGAUAGUGGCAGCUUAAACUAGGAUGAGACCCUGGAGUUGACCUUGUAUUUGUAGGUGCAGACAGCUGGACUUGCUGAUGAGGGCAGUGGGGGAAUUAGACAAGUUGAUUAAGGAGGGCUUCCUGAUUUUUUGCCUUUAGAAAGAGGGUAGGUGAUGGUGCUAUUUAAUGUCUUGCAGAAGACUUUGGAAGGAACAAUUUGGGGAUGGCAAAUGGCAUCUAAGGCUUUGUUUUAGACAUGACACAUUUGAGGUUUCCUUUAUCAGGUCCCUAUAGGAUGAAGAUUCCUUUAUCAGGUCCCUAUAGCCUUGCCUCCUCUCUAUCUAGAUAAUUCACCUUUAAGACUCUAUUCAGCAUCAUUUUCUCUAGGAAGUCUUCUAUAUCAGUCACUUUAAGCCAUGGUAUGCUUCUCUAACAAGCAGUCCCCCAAAUCUCAGUUACUUAUGACAACAGUUUGCUUAUUUCCCAUGUCACAUGUUCAUCAUGGGUCAGGUGCAGCUGGAUCUCAUGUCUUCUUCAUUAUAAGACCCAGACUGAAUGAGCAGCCCUACAACUGGGACAUUCGGGUCUCCUGACAGAGACGAAAAGAGACAUGGCAGAAGUCCACAAUAGUUCUUGGCAUAAUCCCUACAUUCACAUUUCAUUGCCAAGCCAUGUCAUAAAACUAAGCCUGAUGUCUUCAGGUAUGAAAAUAGACUCUUUGCUCAAGGAAGGUCCUAAGAGCAUGGUGCCUGGUAGGGAAGGGAAGCAGUUAUUUUUGAAAAAUAUUAACUAGCAUAGUGCUGGCUAGUGUAGGAGCAUGUUAGGUAUGCAAAUUCUCAGGCCCCACCCUAGACCUGAAUCAGAAAAUUGCAGGAGAUUGGGGCUGGAGACCCAGUAAUUUAUGAUUUAUACAGCCCUGUAGGUGAUUCUAAGGCAUGCUCAAAUUUGAGAAUCACUGAUCUCACAUACCUGCUCUGACCCUCUUCCUGUACCAACUAGGUCAACAACAUUUCCCUAACACAUUCACAUCCUAUCACUGGUGCUACCACAUUAUGCUAUUGUUUCAUGCACAGGAACAAUUAUGUAGAGCCUUGCAGGUUACAUUUGCCAACCUAGCUCAGCUCCAAGAGUGCAGUCCAUGUGCACUUGGAAACCUCUGUUUUGGGGAGGAUCAAGGAGUAUCUGGGUUCCUAGAAGUCACUAUCUUCUGUCUAUAUAUCCUCAGCCCAGCCACUGCUCCACCUGCAAGACUGGUCCAGUUCCUGCAGCACACCCAGGUAAAGAAUGGUCUUGUAAAACACUGUCUCCACUAAACAUACAAAAACAAUAAAAAAAAAUUAGCCAGGUUUGGUGGCGGGCGCCUGUAGUCCCAGCUACUCGGGAGGCUGGGGCGGGAGAAUGGCAUGAACCUGGGAGGCGGAGCUUACAGUUAACUGAGAUCAUGCCACUGCACUCCAGCCUGGGUGACAGAGAGAGACUCCGUCGCAAAAAAAAAAAAAAAAAAAA